Molecule: non-coding RNA, 244 nt
Organism: Orientia tsutsugamushi
Lineage: Bacteria; Pseudomonadati; Pseudomonadota; Alphaproteobacteria; Rickettsiales; Rickettsiaceae
Source: Rfam
AAAGACCAGUUAUGGAAGGAGAAGCUAGCUCAACCAUAUAGCGAAUCUUGUGCAGUUGAAGGUAACGACAGUAGUAAAGCGUAGACAGUGAAACAUUCGAACUGAAACCAAAUGGUGAACGUGAUAUCCCAGAAAGUAUGAUGUAGUGGAAGCCUAUAUGUUCUAGAACAUAGUAGGCAAAAGAAGAUUGGAGGUCAAACUAGUGAAAAUACAAAAAAUUUUCAACCACCGGGGUCGCAGGUGU